UACGAAGGGGGCUAGCGUUGCUCGGAAUCACUGGGCGUAAAGCGCACGUAGGCGGAUCUUUAAGUCAGGGGUGAAAUCCCGGAGCUCAACUCCGGAACUGCCUUUGAUACUGAGGGUCUUGAGUCCGGGAGAGGUGAGUGGAACUGCGAGUGUAGAGGUGAAAUUCGUAGAUAUUCGCAAGAACACCAGUGGCGAAGGCGGCUCACUGGCCUGGUACUGACGCUGAGGUGCGAAAGCGUGGGGAGCAAACAGG
Molecule: ribosomal RNA, 253 nt
Filed under: uncultured bacterium
Lineage: Bacteria
Description: partial 16S ribosomal RNA
Rfam family: Bacterial small subunit ribosomal RNA
Source: RNAcentral